UACGGAGGGUGCAAGCGUUAUUCGGAAUUACUGGGCGUAAAGCGCGUGUCGGCGGGAAGGUUAGUCUGAUGUGAAAGCCCUGGGCUCAACCUGGGAAGUGCAUUGGAUACUGCUUUUCUUGAGUUCUGGAGAGGAUGGGGGAAUUCCCGGUGUAGAGGUGAAAUUCGUAGAGAUCGGGAGGAAUAUCAGUGGCGAAGGCGCCCAUCUGGACGGCAACUGACGCUGAGACGCGAAAGCGUGGGUAGCAAACAGG
This 253-nucleotide ribosomal RNA is filed under the name uncultured bacterium. Its description in RNAcentral is "partial 16S ribosomal RNA". It matches the Rfam family "Bacterial small subunit ribosomal RNA", at positions 524 to 776 of the family's 1533-position model. The record is from RNAcentral.